Molecule: ribosomal RNA, 505 nt
Filed under: uncultured bacterium
Lineage: Bacteria
Description: bacterial SSU rRNA
Rfam family: Bacterial small subunit ribosomal RNA
Source: RNAcentral
CUACGUGCCAGCAGCCGCGGUAAUACGGAAGGUUCUGGCGUUAUCCGGAUUUAUUGGGUUUAAAGGGAGCGUAGGCUGUUUUUUAAGCGUGUUGUGAAAUGUACCGGCUCAACCGGUGAUGUGCAGCGCGAACUGGAAGACUUGAGUGUGUUGUAAGUAGGCGGAAUUCGUGGUGUAGCGGUGAAAUGCUUAGAUAUGACGAAGAACUCCGAUUGCGAAGGCAGCUGACGGGAGCGCAACUGACGCUUAAGCUCGAAGGUGCGGGUAUCGAACAGGAUUAGAUACCCUGGUAGUCCGCACAGUAAACGAUGGAUGCCCGCUGUUGGUACUUGGUAUCAGCGGCUAAGCGAAAGCAUUAAGCAUCCCACCUGGGGAGUACGCCGGCAACGGUGAAACUCAAAGGAAUUGACGGGGGCCCGCACAAGCGGAGGAACAUGUGGUUUAAUUCGAUGAUACGCGAGGAACCUUACCCGGGCUUGAAUUGCAGAGGAAGUAUUUAGAGAUA